CCGAGGUGCCUUAGCCAAGCGUGCGCAGGGCAGGAAUAAGAAGAAAAAGCGCAAAAGAUGUGCUCAGGAGGCCAGGGUGCUUGAAGGGGAAGAUCUGCACUGCAGGCAGAGCCGACCCCUGCAGGAAGAGGAGGGCAGCAUCCAGGCUCAGUUACUUCCGUCUCUUGGAUAGCUAGCUGGUCCAGACGGU
Molecule: long non-coding RNA, 190 nt
Filed under: Cavia porcellus (domestic guinea pig)
Lineage: Eukaryota; Metazoa; Chordata; Mammalia; Rodentia; Caviidae
Description: lncRNA (ENSCPOG00000039749.1)
Source: RNAcentral